CGAGCUUGAUCCUGGCUCAGAACGAAUGCUGGCGGCAGGCCUAACACAUGCAAGUCGAGCGGACAACCUCAAACAGGUUGUUAGCGGCGAACGGGUGAGUAACACGUGAGAAUCUACCUUGUUCAACGGGAUAGCUUAAGGAAACUUGAGGUAAUACCGUAUGAUUCCUGCAACAGGUAAAGAUUUCAAUCGGAACAAGAUGAGCUUACGGUAGAUUAGCUAGUUGGUGGGGUAAAAGCCUACCAAGGCCAAGAUCUAUAGCUGGUCUGGGAGGACGAACAGCCACAUUGGGACUGAGACAAGGCCCAACCCUCUUAGGAGGGCAGCAGUGAGGAAUAUUGGACAAUGGGCGUAAGCCUGAUCCAGCCAUGCCGCAUGAGUGACCUGAAGGUCCAAUGGACUGUAAAACUCUUAGACUAAUGAUUAAUAGUGAUAACGUUAGUUAAAUAAAGCUCCGGCCAACUUCGUGCCAGCAGCCGCGGUAAUACGAGGGGAGCGAGUGUUGUUCAGUUUUAUUGGGCGUAAAGGGCACUCAGGUUGCUUCAUAAGUUAACAACCAAAUCUUGGAACUUAAUUCCAUCACGGUUAUUAAUACUGUGUUGCUUAGAACUUGGUGGAGGUGAUCAUAAUUCCAAGUGUAGAGGUGAAAUUCGUUGAUAUUUGGAGGAGUACCAAAGGCGAAGGCAGAUCAUCAUGCUAAGUUGACACUGAAGGUGCGAAAGCAUGGGGAGCAAACAGGAUUAGAUACCCUGGUAGUCCAUGCCCUAAACGUUGAGAGCUAACAGUUAAACGACAUAUGUCAAACCAUAUUUUCGUUGAUUGUACAACUAACGUGUUAAGCACUCCGCCUGGGGAUUACGACCGCAAGGUUAAAACUCAAAGGAAUUGACGGAGACCCGCACAAGCGGUGGAGCAUGUGGUUUAAUUCGAAGCUACACGAAGAACCUUACCAGCCCUUGACAUACCAAGAUUUAACAUCCUGGAAACAGGAUGCCAAUUCAAUGGCUAAGACCCGUUGAACAACUUGGAACAGGUGCUGCAUGGCUGUUGUCAGCUCGUGUCGUGAGAUGUAUGGUUAAGUUCCAUAACGAGCAUAACCCUCAUCCAUAGUUGCCGAAAACAAGUAAUGAGUGGCUCUCUAUGGAGACUGCCAACGUAAGUUGGAGGAAGGUGAGGACCACAACAAGUCAUCAUGGCCCUUAUGGGCUGGGCCACACACGUGCUACAAUGGUAGGUACAAAGAGUCGCAAUACCGCGAGGUGGAGCUAAUCUCAUUAAAACCUAUCUCAGUCCGGAUUGUACUCUGCAACCCGAGUACAUGAAGUAGGAAUCGCUAGUAAUCGUGGAUCAGCAUGCCACGGUGAAUACGUUCUCGGGUCUUGUACACACCGCCCGUCACACCAUGGGAGUCAUUUUUGUUUCAAGUCCAUUCAGAUAUGGACGUCGACAACGUUGAUGACCGAGGUGAAGUCGUAACAAGGUAGCCGUAGGUGAACCUGUGGCUGAAACAGAU
RNAcentral lists this ribosomal RNA (1513 nucleotides) under Candidatus Hodgkinia cicadicola. RNAcentral describes it as "bacterial SSU rRNA". It matches the Rfam family "Bacterial small subunit ribosomal RNA". Lineage: Bacteria; Pseudomonadati; Pseudomonadota; Alphaproteobacteria; Hyphomicrobiales. The record is from RNAcentral.